RNAcentral lists this ribosomal RNA (253 nucleotides) under uncultured bacterium. RNAcentral describes it as "partial 16S ribosomal RNA". It matches the Rfam family "Bacterial small subunit ribosomal RNA", at positions 524 to 776 of the family's 1533-position model. The record is from RNAcentral.
UACAGAGGGUGCGAACGUUGCUCGGAUUUACUGGGCGUAAAGCGCUUGUAGGCGGGCGAAUGUGUCGGGUGUGAAAUCCCUGAGCUUAACUCAGGAACUGCAUUCGAAACUAUUCGUCUUGAGGAAUUGAGAGGAGAACGGAAUUCCCGGUGUAGAGGUGAAAUUCGUAGAUAUCGGGAGGAACACCAGAUGCGAAGGCGGUUCUCUGGAAAUUAUCUGACGCUGAGAAGCGAAAGCGUGGGGAGCAAACAGG